CAUCAACACAUGAUCAAGAUGUUUUCAGUUUUCUACCCUGAUGAGAGAUUUUGUAAUGGAUUUGAGGAGGUGCUUGCACGAUACAGAGAAAUUGUUCCCCAGCUUUCGGCUCGCAGGACCGACAUCUUUUGCACCCAUCAUUGAAAUGGCCAUGACUAUCGUCGAGCAAAGUGGUGGUCAAUACCCAUGUUUUGCUGAUAAUUGCCGAUGGGCAGGUAAUAUGUAAGGAGAACUUGGGUUAUUUGUUUCAACAUUCGGUAUAUACACACUCGGGCUAGGAGUAGACCGAAACUGAGACAUGCUAAGAAAACUUGACUGGCAUAACAAAAUAUUUUGUUACAAGGAUAAAUCAUCUACUAAUCAUUUGGUAUAGGGGGUCUCUAUCGCUCUAAAUCCGAUAGUUUACUGCUGAUAUCGAUAAGGUAACUCUGGAUAAUUUAGAGAAGAAAAACUGGAAGAAGCAUCCAUUUGGUAUAGGGUCACUAUCUCUCCGGAUCCAAAGGACAUCUGAUCAUUCUGAUGUUGAUUGG
Hibiscus syriacus is the source of this 530-nucleotide long non-coding RNA. RefSeq lists it as uncharacterized. The record is from RefSeq and is a predicted model, not a curated record. The transcript is spliced from 2 exons. Lineage: Eukaryota; Viridiplantae; Streptophyta; Magnoliopsida; Malvales; Malvaceae.